Alligator mississippiensis (American alligator) is the source of this 477-nucleotide long non-coding RNA. RefSeq lists it as uncharacterized. The transcript has 2 exons. Lineage: Eukaryota; Metazoa; Chordata; Crocodylia; Alligatoridae. The record is from RefSeq and is a predicted model, not a curated record.
AAUCUGUUCUGUGGGGCACUCAGGAGAGAAAAGUAGCAAUUUAUCGAACACCUGCAGGAACAAUCAGCAUUUCAUAAAAGCAAUUUCAGAAAAACAUAUCUGGAUUAAAUUAAUGGCAGGCUGUUCAUCUUUUUGAUCAACUGUCCAUUUCAAGCACUGACAAAAUGCAGAAAAAAGAAAGGAACCUGUCAUACGUGGGGUUUGAGAGAUUGCUUUCCUCCUGGGAUUUUGUUCUUUAUGAUGGGAGAUGCUACUAUGAACUAAUUGCCUCUAGGGGCAAUGAGCAACUUCCUCUCGAGCCUGGUACUGCUCUUCAUAAAUAUAUUAAGAUAAGCAUCCAGCUCAGUACAGUUCCCACCGGCUCUGCUAAAAGACUGCUAAUGACAUUCUCUGCCCCCCACAGUAUGCUAUCUAGAGCCUACCCACACACACAGUAUACCAACCAAACCUGCCCUUAAUAAAUGUAGUGCAAAGUCA